Molecule: ribosomal RNA, 207 nt
Filed under: Campylobacter jejuni
Lineage: Bacteria; Pseudomonadati; Campylobacterota; Epsilonproteobacteria; Campylobacterales; Campylobacteraceae
Description: partial 16S ribosomal RNA
Rfam family: Bacterial small subunit ribosomal RNA
Source: RNAcentral
UUUAUGGAGAGUUUGAUCCUGGCUCAGAGUGAACGCUGGCGGCGUGCCUAAUACAUGCAAGUCGAACGAUGAAGCUUUUACUUGCUAGAAGUGGAUUAGUGGCGCACGGGUGAGUAAGGUAUAGUUAAUCUGCCCUACACAAGAGGACAACAGUUGGAAACGACUGCUAAUACUCUAUACUCCUGCUUAACACAAGUUGAGUAGGGA